AUUUGUCUCCUGUGCUGGAGGGCAUGCUGAUGUGUUUUUGGUGGGAUUCCCCUAUCAUCGUCCAAUAUUGGCAAUGAAUCAAAGUUAUCUCAAUUAAGUUUUUAGGAAUAUUCCACCAUUCCAAGCUGAAAAUGUGUUACACUGCCAUCCGACCCCAAUUUCCAAUAAUAAGAAAUCUAAUCUUUUUCCACUAUCAAAUCCCUAACAGCUGCCCUCUGCA
This is a non-coding RNA of Pelobates cultripes (western spadefoot toad), 220 nucleotides long. The record is from the annotation of a GenBank genome assembly. Lineage: Eukaryota; Metazoa; Chordata; Amphibia; Anura; Pelobatidae.